ACGAGCGGCGAACGGGUGAGUAACACGUGAGCAACCUGCCCUUCUCUUGGGGAUAACCAGUGGAAACGCUGGCUAAUACCGAAUAUGACUGCUUCGCGCAUGCGGGGUGGUGGAAAGUUCCGGCGGAGAAGGAUGGGCUCGCGGCCUAUCAGCUUGUUGGUGAGGUAAUGGCUCACCAAGGCGACGACGGGUAGCCGGCCUGAGAGGGUGACCGGCCACACUGGGACUGAGACACGGCCCAGACUCCUACGGGAGGCAGCAGUGGGGAAUAUUGGACAAUGGGCGAAAGCCUGAUCCAGCAACGCCGCGUGAGGGAUGACGGCCUUCGGGUUGUAAACCUCUUUCAGCACCGACGAAGCGAGAGUGACGGUAGGUGCAGAAGAAGGACCGGCCAACUACGUGCCAGCAGCCGCGGUAAUACGUAGGGUCCGAGCGUUGUCCGGAAUUAUUGGGCGUAAAGGGCUCGUAGGCGGUCUGUCGCGUCGGGAGUGAAAACUCGGGGCUUAACCCCGAGCGUGCUUCCGAUACGGGCAGACUAGAGGGAUGCAGGGGAGAAUGGAAUUCCUGGUGUAGCGGUGGAAUGCGCAGAUAUCAGGAGGAACACCGGUGGCGAAGGCGGUUCUCUGGGCAUUUCCUGACGCUGAGGAGCGAAAGCAUGGGGAGCGAACAGGAUUAGAUACCCUGGUAGUCCAUGCCGUAAACGUUGGGCGCUAGGUGUGGGGACCUUCCACGGUUUCCGUGCCGCAGCUAACGCAUUAAGCGCCCCGCCUGGGGAGUAC
Molecule: ribosomal RNA, 779 nt
Filed under: Actinomycetes bacterium
Lineage: Bacteria; Bacillati; Actinomycetota; Actinomycetes
Description: bacterial SSU rRNA
Rfam family: Bacterial small subunit ribosomal RNA
Source: RNAcentral